GUUUGUUUUGUCAAUGUUCAAUAACUUUGUAAUAUUGGCUGGAAUGAUCUCAAGGCUUUUGUCCAUGAUUGUAGCCAUAGCCACGGGUCAUGUUAUGCAAAUGUUUAAUGAUUUGCAUUAUUCAAACCCUUAUGGCUGGUUUACACUAUCCGAAAGUUUCGAUGAACACAGCAGGAAUUUUGCAUAGGUAAAUUCUACGUUUGGAAGAAAAUCUGACAAUCUGUAAGAAUUGUUUGAGCUAGGCAACUGACUCAGUGUUAAACACUAAAGCCCUUAGCAAACUAUAGGAAACAUUGUUGUGGAAGCAUUUGUGAUUAUCGAUGUUUCUUAGCUCUUCUUCAUAUGUUUCCCUGUUUGCCCACCCGUGGAAACAUUGUUGCGGAAACAAAAUCUGCUUCCCGAGAAGCAAAAAUGUUUCCUAGCAAAUUCAGAAACAUUUGAUGUUUCCUUAUGUUUCUCACAAUGUUUCUAUAGUGUUUGCCCACUCUGGGAAACAUGCAUGGCGAUACAUUGGCAGAAAACAAUGUGUCUGCAACAAUGUUUCCUAGUUUGUCCAGGUCUUUAGUCAGUUCCCUCGAACAUUUCUUACAAAUCCUUCAAGGCUUAGAAUUUACCUAUGCUUAAAAAAUCAUUAAUAAUAAUAAUUCAUGAGGGAACGACAAAGGAAAUCACUGCCGCAUGUCGGUGGUUUUGUAUAUGAUCAAAAAUCAUGUUCACAUUUACAUAAACUUUAGCUUUGAUUUUCUCGGCUUGGACAACGUUUAUUUUUAAAAUUACUUCGCCAAUCCGUGCUUUUAUCAGAUACAUACAUGAUGACGACUGAAUCUUAGUCGAAAGCUAGAAUAUUAAAAUGUUUAUUUUCGGAGUUACCGUUGUUUUAUGUACUAUUUAAAAAACGAGCAGGAGUGUUUUAUUAGGUUUAAAGCCACGAGCGCGCAGCGCGAGUGGCUUUAGACCUAACUGAUAAAACACGACUUCAAUAAAACAUGGCUUCAAAAGCGUAUGCAUAAUAAGUCAAAUCUUUAUAUAAAAAUCUUUAUAUAAAAACCUUUAUAUAGUUUGCAUAACAAUGGUCUUUUGUUAAAGUGUUCUUUAGCUGGU
Paramuricea clavata is the source of this 1101-nucleotide non-coding RNA. The record is from the annotation of a GenBank genome assembly. Lineage: Eukaryota; Metazoa; Cnidaria; Anthozoa; Malacalcyonacea; Plexauridae.